AACGGGUGAGUAAUGCGUGACCAACCUGCCCCAUGCUCCAGAAUAGCUCUUGGAAACGGGUGGUAAUGCUGGAUGCUCCAACUUGACGCAUGUCUUGUUGGGAAAGUGUUUAGUGGCAUGGGAUGGGGUCGCGUCCUAUCAGCUUGUAGGCGGGGUAAUGGCCCCCCUAGGCUUCGACGGGUAGCCGGCCUGAGAGGGCGGACGGCCACAUUGGGACUGAGAUACGGCCCAGACUCCUACGGGAGGCAGCAGCU
This 254-nucleotide ribosomal RNA is filed under the name uncultured Gardnerella sp. RNAcentral describes it as "partial 16S ribosomal RNA". It matches the Rfam family "Bacterial small subunit ribosomal RNA", at positions 101 to 355 of the family's 1533-position model. The record is from RNAcentral. Lineage: Bacteria; Bacillati; Actinomycetota; Actinomycetes; Bifidobacteriales; Bifidobacteriaceae.